This 353-nucleotide unclassified non-coding RNA is filed under the name soil metagenome. RNAcentral describes it as "partial contains 5.8S ribosomal RNA, internal transcribed spacer 2, and large subunit ribosomal RNA". The stretch from base 1 to 120 matches the Rfam family "5.8S ribosomal RNA", at positions 35 to 154 of the family's 154-position model. The record is from RNAcentral.
GAUGAAGAACGCAGUGAAAUGCGAUAAGUAAUGUGAAUUGCAGAAUUCAGUGAAUCAUCGAAUCUUUGAACGCACAUUGCGCCCGCCAGUAUUCUGGCGGGCAUGUCUGUUCGAGCGUCAUUACAACCCUCAGGCCCCCGGGCCUGGCGUUGGGGAUCGGCGGAAGCCCCCUGCGGGCACAACGCCGUCCCCCAAAUACAGUGGCGGUCCCGCCGCAGCUUCCAUUGCGUAGUAGCUAACACCUCGCAACUGGAGAGCGGCGCGGCCACGCCGUAAAACACCCAACUUCUGAAUGUUGACCUCGAAUCAGGUAGGAAUACCCGCUGAACUUAAGCAUAUCAAUAAGCGGAGGA